Gossypium arboreum is the source of this 112-nucleotide non-coding RNA. The record is from Rfam. NCBI's taxonomy places the organism in Eukaryota, Viridiplantae, Streptophyta, Magnoliopsida, Malvales, Malvaceae.
GAGAGCACAGUACGAUGAAAGUUGUAAGCUGUGUUCGGGGGGGAGUUAUUGUCUAUUGUUGGCCUCUAUGGUAGAAUCAGUUGGGGGCCUGAGAGGCGGUGGUUUACCCUGU